RNAcentral lists this ribosomal RNA (406 nucleotides) under uncultured bacterium. Its description in RNAcentral is "partial 16S ribosomal RNA". It matches the Rfam family "Bacterial small subunit ribosomal RNA", at positions 30 to 526 of the family's 1533-position model. The record is from RNAcentral.
AUUGAACGCUGGCGGCAGGCCUAACACAUGCAAGUCGAGCGAGCGGCGGACGGGUGAGUAAUGUCUGGGAAACUGCCCGCUGGAGGGGGAUAACUACUGGAAACGGUAGCUAAUACCGCAUACCAUCAGAUGUGCCCAGAUGGGAUUAGCUAUUAGGUGGGGUAAUGGCUCACCUAGGCGACGAUCCCUAGCUGGUCUGAGAGGAUGAACAGCAACACUGUAACUGAGACACGGUCCAGACUCCGACGUGAGGCAGCAGUGGGGAAUAUUGAACAAUGGGCGCAAGCCUGAUGCAGCCAGGCCGAGUGUGUGAAGAAGGCCUGCGGGUUGUAAAGUACUUUCAGCGAGGAGGCGUUACUCGCAGAAGAAGCACCGGCUAACGCCGUGCCAGCAGCGGCGGUAAUAC